CUCUCUAGUGACCGAUAGUGAACCAGUACCGUGAGGGAAAGGUGAAAAGCACCCCGGAAGGGGAGUGAAAUAGAACCUGAAACCGUGUGCUUACAAGUAGUCAGAGCCCGUUAAUGGGUGAUGGCGUGCCUUUUGUAGAAUGAACCGGCGAGUUACGAUUUGAUGCAAGGUUAAGCAGUAAAUGUGGAGCCGUAGCGAAAGCGAGUCUGAAUAGGGCGUUUAGUAUUUGGUCGUAGACCCGAAACCAGGUGAUCUACCCUUGGUCAGGUUGAAGUUCAGGUAACACUGAAUGGAGGACCGAACCGACUUACGUUGAAAAGUGAGCGGAUGAACUGAGGGUAGCGGAGAAAUUCCAAUCGAACCUGGAGAUAGCUGGUUCUCUCCGAAAUAGCUUUAGGGCUAGCCUCAAGUGAUGAUUAUUGGAGGUAGAGCACUGUUUGGACGAGGGGCCCCUCUCGGGUUACCGAAUUCAGACAAACUCCGAAUGCCAAUUAAUUUAACUUGGGAGUCAGAACAUGGGUGAUAAGGUCCGUGUUCGAAAGGGAAACAGCCCAGACCACCAGCUAAGGUCCCAAAAUAUAUGUUAAGUGGAAAAGGAUGUGGCGUUGCCCAGACAACUAGGAUGUUGGCUUAGAAGCAGCCAUCAUUUAAAGAGUGCGUAAUAGCUCACUAGUCGAGUGACACUGCGCCGAAAAUGUACCGGGGCUAAACAUAUUACCGAAGCUGUGGAUUGUCCUUUGGACAAUGGUAGGAGAGCGUUCUAAGGGCGUUGAAGCAUGAUCGUAAGGACAUGUGGAGCGCUUAGAAGUGAGAAUGCCGGUGUGAGUAGCGAAAGACGGGUGAGAAUCCCGUCCACCGAUUGACUAAGGUUUCCAGAGGAAGGCUCGUCCGCUCUGGGUUAGUCGGGUCCUAAGCUGAGGCCGACAGGCGUAGGCGAUGGAUAACAGGUUGAUAUUCCUGUACCACCUAUAAUCGUUUUAAUCGAUGGGGGGACGCAGUAGGAUAGGCGAAGCGUGCGAUUGGAUUGCACGUCUAAGCAGUAAGGCUGAGUAUUAGGCAAAUCCGGUACUCGUUAAGGCUGAGC
RNAcentral lists this ribosomal RNA (1084 nucleotides) under Staphylococcus aureus. RNAcentral describes it as "partial 23S ribosomal RNA". It matches the Rfam family "Bacterial large subunit ribosomal RNA", at positions 473 to 1561 of the family's 2925-position model. The record is from RNAcentral. Lineage: Bacteria; Bacillati; Bacillota; Bacilli; Caryophanales; Staphylococcaceae.